RNAcentral lists this transfer RNA (74 nucleotides) under Clostridia bacterium. RNAcentral describes it as "tRNA-Trp". It matches the Rfam family "tRNA". Rfam says of the family: Transfer RNA (tRNA) molecules are approximately 80 nucleotides in length. The record is from RNAcentral. Lineage: Bacteria; Bacillati; Bacillota; Clostridia.
AGAAGCGUGGUGUAAUGGUAGCAUUACUGUCUCCAAAACAGUCGGUGAGAGUUCGAGCCUUUCCGCUUCUGCCA